This 160-nucleotide ribosomal RNA is filed under the name uncultured bacterium. RNAcentral's name for it is "partial 16S ribosomal RNA". It matches the Rfam family "Bacterial small subunit ribosomal RNA", at positions 355 to 507 of the family's 1533-position model. The record is from RNAcentral.
UGGGGAAUUUUGGACAAUGGGCGCAAGCCUGAUCCAGCCAUGCCGCGUGCAGGAUGAAGGCCCUCGGGUUGUAAACUGCUUUUGUACGGAACGAAAAGCCUCUUUCUAAUAAAGAGGGGUGAUGACGGUACCGUAAGAAUAAGCACCGGCUAACUACGUG